CUACGGGGUGCUGCAGUGAGGAAUAUUGCACAAUGGGGGGAACCCUGAUGCAGCAACGCCGCGUGGAGGAUGACGCAUUUCGGUGUGUAAACUCCUUUUAUAUGUCAAGAAAAUGACGGUAGCAUAUGAAUAAGCACCGGCUAACUCCGUGCCAGCAGCCGCGGUAAUACGGAGGGUGCAAGCGUUACUCGGAAUCACUGGGCGUAAAGGACGCGUAGGCGGGUUGGAAAGUCAGGUGUGAAAUCCUACAGCUUAACUGUAGAACUGCACUUGAAACUUCUAAUCUAGAGUAUGGAAGGGGGAGAUGGAAUUAGUGGUGUAGGGGUAACAUCCGUAGAUAUCACUAGGAAUACCUAAAGCGAAGGCGAUCUCCUGGAACAUUACUGACGCUGAGGCGUGAAAGCGUGGGGAGCAAACAGGAUUAGAUACCCCGGUAGUC
Molecule: ribosomal RNA, 439 nt
Filed under: uncultured bacterium
Lineage: Bacteria
Description: partial 16S ribosomal RNA
Rfam family: Bacterial small subunit ribosomal RNA
Source: RNAcentral